Trichomycterus rosablanca is the source of this 132-nucleotide small nucleolar RNA. RefSeq annotates it as small nucleolar RNA SNORA75. The transcript has a single exon. Lineage: Eukaryota; Metazoa; Chordata; Actinopteri; Siluriformes; Trichomycteridae. The record is from RefSeq and is a predicted model, not a curated record.
CCCUUCUCACGAGCUCCUCUCCGUCUGAUCGGUGACGGGGCGUGGAUUCGCACGAGAAGAACAGUGACACUCACAUUUAUAACGAGUCUCUCCCGCACGUCAGGAGUCACUUAUGUCUGGUGUGAGACAAAC